Molecule: ribosomal RNA, 1528 nt
Filed under: Escherichia coli 2-177-06_S4_C3
Lineage: Bacteria; Pseudomonadati; Pseudomonadota; Gammaproteobacteria; Enterobacterales; Enterobacteriaceae
Description: bacterial SSU rRNA
Rfam family: Bacterial small subunit ribosomal RNA
Source: RNAcentral
AGUUUGAUCAUGGCUCAGAUUGAACGCUGGCGGCAGGCCUAACACAUGCAAGUCGAACGGUAACAGGAAACAGCUUGCUGUUUCGCUGACGAGUGGCGGACGGGUGAGUAAUGUCUGGGAAACUGCCUGAUGGAGGGGGAUAACUACUGGAAACGGUAGCUAAUACCGCAUAACGUCGCAAGACCAAAGAGGGGGACCUUCGGGCCUCUUGCCAUCGGAUGUGCCCAGAUGGGAUUAGCUUGUUGGUGGGGUAACGGCUCACCAAGGCGACGAUCCCUAGCUGGUCUGAGAGGAUGACCAGCCACACUGGAACUGAGACACGGUCCAGACUCCUACGGGAGGCAGCAGUGGGGAAUAUUGCACAAUGGGCGCAAGCCUGAUGCAGCCAUGCCGCGUGUAUGAAGAAGGCCUUCGGGUUGUAAAGUACUUUCAGCGGGGAGGAAGGGAGUAAAGUUAAUACCUUUGCUCAUUGACGUUACCCGCAGAAGAAGCACCGGCUAACUCCGUGCCAGCAGCCGCGGUAAUACGGAGGGUGCAAGCGUUAAUCGGAAUUACUGGGCGUAAAGCGCACGCAGGCGGUUUGUUAAGUCAGAUGUGAAAUCCCCGGGCUCAACCUGGGAACUGCAUCUGAUACUGGCAAGCUUGAGUCUCGUAGAGGGGGGUAGAAUUCCAGGUGUAGCGGUGAAAUGCGUAGAGAUCUGGAGGAAUACCGGUGGCGAAGGCGGCCCCCUGGACGAAGACUGACGCUCAGGUGCGAAAGCGUGGGGAGCAAACAGGAUUAGAUACCCUGGUAGUCCACGCCGUAAACGAUGUCGACUUGGAGGUUGUGCCCUUGAGGCGUGGCUUCCGGAGCUAACGCGUUAAGUCGACCGCCUGGGGAGUACGGCCGCAAGGUUAAAACUCAAAUGAAUUGACGGGGGCCCGCACAAGCGGUGGAGCAUGUGGUUUAAUUCGAUGCAACGCGAAGAACCUUACCUGGUCUUGACAUCCACAGAACUUUCCAGAGAUGGAUUGGUGCCUUCGGGAGCUGUGAGACAGGUGCUGCAUGGCUGUCGUCAGCUCGUGUUGUGAAAUGUUGGGUUAAGUCCCGCAACGAGCGCAACCCUUAUCCUUUGUUGCCAGCGGUCCGGCCGGGAACUCAAAGGAGACUGCCAGUGAUAAACUGGAGGAAGGUGGGGAUGACGUCAAGUCAUCAUGGCCCUUACGACCAGGGCUACACACGUGCUACAAUGGCGCAUACAAAGAGAAGCGACCUCGCGAGAGCAAGCGGACCUCAUAAAGUGCGUCGUAGUCCGGAUUGGAGUCUGCAACUCGACUCCAUGAAGUCGGAAUCGCUAGUAAUCGUGGAUCAGAAUGCCACGGUGAAUACGUUCCCGGGCCUUGUACACACCGCCCGUCACACCAUGGGAGUGGGUUGCAAAAGAAGUAGGUAGCUUAACCUUCGGGAGGGCGCUUACCACUUUGUGAUUCAUGACUGGGGUGAAGUCGUAACAAGGUAACCGUAGGGGAACCUGCGGUUGGAUCACCU